CGUAGGUGGCAAGCGUUGUCCGGAAUUAUUGGGCGUAAAGCGCGCGCAGGCGGUUCCUUAAGUCUGAUGUGAAAGCCCCCGGCUCAACCGGGGAAGGUCAGUUGGAAACUGGGGAACUUGAGUGCAGAAGAGAAGAGCGGAAUUCCACGUGUAGCGGUGAAAUGCGUAGAGAUGUGGAGGAACACCAGUGGCGAAGGCGGCUCUUUGGUCUGUAACUGACGCUGAGGCGCGAAAGCGUGGGGAGCAAACAGGAUUAGAUACCCUGGUAGUCCACGCCGUAAACGAUGAGUGCUAAGUGUUAGAGGGUUUCCGCCCUUUAGUGCUGCAGCUAACGCAUUAAGCACUCCGCCUGGGGAGUACGGCCGCAAGGCUG
Molecule: ribosomal RNA, 373 nt
Filed under: uncultured organism
Description: bacterial SSU rRNA
Rfam family: Bacterial small subunit ribosomal RNA
Source: RNAcentral